CAUGGAAAAAACACAAUGGUUAUCCCAGAGACACAGACAUUGGUCUUUCCCAUAACUUCAUUUCCAACAGGAAAAAACCCCACGAACCUUUCGGUCAAAAAUGAGAAGUCUCCACCUACUCCUCCCCCUACUUCUUUUCACUUUUUGUCAAAUGACUAGCUCGCACCUCUCACUUUUUUGGUGUUUUCUGCCAAAAAGUAAAAGUUGGUCA
Molecule: non-coding RNA, 211 nt
Organism: Caenorhabditis elegans
Lineage: Eukaryota; Metazoa; Nematoda; Chromadorea; Rhabditida; Rhabditidae
Source: Ensembl